AAUAUAUUCUAUAUUCUAUUUGCUUACACACUCCUCCACCGCCACCACCGAUAUUGCCCCUUCCUCCACCUCCACCACCGAUACUGCCCCUUCCUCCACCUCACCAGCGUCGAAACCCUAAACAUCUACUUAUCUAUAUUAGUUUCUAACGAAUAUUAUUUGGUUCUUAUGAGCAGAUGAAUUGACAAACCCUAACCCCGUUGUCAUCAGUGAGGAGAUGAAGAGAUCAGAAAAGGUGGAGGUUGUGAGUGGAAAGAGGACAAGAAGGGUGGCGUUGGCAGGGGAUUUGUGGAUGGAGCCGAAGAGGGAGCGGUCAUCAUCAUCAUCAUCAGAUUGUUCUCCCUGUAGUCCCGAACGCCUCGCGACGGUGAUAGCAGCGAUAGCGAGGUUAAAAAGCUAAACGAGAUGGCAGAAAGGAAGGAGGGCUUGGAUUCACAAUUUUUCAUGAAGGGGAUCGUGGUGGGUUGUUAGUACACAUCGACACUGCUUUUUCUGAAUGUGUUAUAUCAACAAUAGAAAUGAAGAAUGAAAGAGAAAUUCUUUGCACCGAUCUCCUUUAUAAAAUUUCAUGGGUUGAAGUCACAAGGGAUCGUUCUUUAAGAGAAUGGGUAUUUAAUGAGAUUGCUGAAAACACGUAGAGGGACUUUGGCUCUAAAUAUCCUGGAGGUAAGGGACAAGGAGGAAAAAAAAUCUAGAAGCGUGUUCAUCUAUUUCCAAGGUAGAAGUGGUGUGCCAUCUCCACACAAUAUAUGAAGAUCAAGUGGGAGCAAAACAACUUAGAAUUAGCACCACAAGUUUUAUAAUUAUCUUAUGAAAUUUUAAUGUUUUUUGGAUGAUUGAAUAUUUUGGUACUUUGGUGUAAUUAAGUUAUGUUGAUAAUAAAAUAAUUUAGUCUAUUAA
Long non-coding RNA from Vigna unguiculata (cowpea), 900 nucleotides. RefSeq lists it as uncharacterized. The record is from RefSeq and is a predicted model, not a curated record. Lineage: Eukaryota; Viridiplantae; Streptophyta; Magnoliopsida; Fabales; Fabaceae.